CAAAAAACAAAUCAUGGGGUUCCGUGUCCAACAUUUAACCGUCCGUCUUAUUUGAAAAAGAUAUAAAAAAAUUAAAAAGAUAGGUCACGCAUAAAGUAUUAAUCAUGUUUUAUCAUCUAACAACAAUGAAAAUACUAAUUAUAAAAAAAUUUCAUAUAAGACAGACAGUCAAACGUUAAACACGAAAACCUAGGGUUUGUCUUUUU
This is a microRNA precursor of Oryza sativa Japonica Group (Japanese rice), 206 nucleotides long. It matches the Rfam family "MIR812 microRNA precursor family". The record is from Rfam. NCBI's taxonomy places the organism in Eukaryota, Viridiplantae, Streptophyta, Magnoliopsida, Poales, Poaceae.